This 449-nucleotide ribosomal RNA is filed under the name uncultured bacterium. Its description in RNAcentral is "partial 16S ribosomal RNA". It matches the Rfam family "Bacterial small subunit ribosomal RNA", at positions 29 to 523 of the family's 1533-position model. The record is from RNAcentral.
AACGAACGCUGGCGGCAUGCCUAACACAUGCAAGUCGAACGAGAUCUUCGGGUCUAGUGGCGCACGGGUGCGUAACGCGUGGGAAUCUGCCCUUUGGUUCGGAAUAACAGUUGGAAACGACUGCUAAUACCGGAUGAUGACGAAAGUCCAAAGAUUUAUCGCCAGAGGAUGAGUCCGCGUAGGAUUAGCUAGUUGGUGUGGUAAAGGCGCACCAAGGCGACGAUCCUUAGCUGGUCUGAGAGGGUGAUCAGCCACACUGGGACUGAGACACGGCCCAGGCUCCCACGAGAGGCAGCAGUGGGGAAUAUUGGACGAUGGGCGAAAGCCUGAUCCAGCUAUGCCGCGUGAGUGAUGAAGGCCUUAGGGUUGUAAAGCUCUUUUACCCGGGACGAUAAUGACAGUACCGGGAGAAUAAGCUCCGGCUAACUCCGUGCCAGCAGCCGCGGUAG